GAUGAACGCUGGCGGCGUGCCUAAUACAUGCAAGUCGAGCGAACGGACGAGAAGCUUGCUUCUCUGAUGUUAGCGGCGGACGGGUGAGUAACACGUGGAUAACCUACCUAUAAGACUGGGAUAACUUCGGGAAACCGGAGCUAAUACCGGAUAAUAUUUUGAACCGCAUGGUUCAAAAGUGAAAGACGGUCUUGCUGUCACUUAUAGAUGGAUCCGCGCUGCAUUAGCUAGUUGGUAAGGUAACGGCUUACCAAGGCAACGAUGCAUAGCCGACCUGAGAGGGUGAUCGGCCACACUGGAACUGAGACACGGUCCAGACUCCUACGGGAGGCAGCAGUAGGGAAUCUUCCGCAAUGGGCGAAAGCCUGACGGAGCAACGCCGCGUGAGUGAUGAAGGUCUUCGGAUCGUAAAACUCUGUUAUUAGGGAAGAACAUAUGUGUAAGUAACUGUGCACAUCUUGACGGUACCUAAUCAGAAAGCCACGGCUAACUACGUGCCAGCAGCCGCGGUAAUACGUAGGUGGCAAGCGUUAUCCGGAAUUAUUGGGCGUAAAGCGCGCGUAGGCGGUUUUUUAAGUCUGAUGUGAAAGCCCACGGCUCAACCGUGGAGGGUCAUUGGAAACUGGAAAACUUGAGUGCAGAAGAGGAAAGUGGAAUUCCAUGUGUAGCGGUGAAAUGCGCAGAGAUAUGGAGGAACACCAGUGGCGAAGGCGACUUUCUGGUCUGUAACUGACGCUGAUGUGCGAAAGCGUGGGGAUCAAACAGGAUUAGAUACCCUGGUAGUCCACGCCGUAAACGAUGAGUGCUAAGUGUUAGGGGGUUUCCGCCCCUUAGUGCUGCAGCUAACGCAUUAAGCACUCCGCCUGGGGAGUACGACCGCAAGGUUGAAACUCAAAGGAAUUGACGGGGACCCGCACAAGCGGUGGAGCAUGUGGUUUAAUUCGAAGCAACGCGAAGAACCUUACCAAAUCUUGACAUCCUUUGACAACUCUAGAGAUAGAGCUUUCCCCUUCGGGGGACAAAGUGACAGGUGGUGCAUGGUUGUCGUCAGCUCGUGUCGUGAGAUGUUGGGUUAAGUCCCGCAACGAGCGCAACCCUUAAGCUUAGUUGCCAUCAUUAAGUUGGGCACUCUAAGUUGACUGCCGGUGACAAACCGGAGGAAGGUGGGGAUGACGUCAAAUCAUCAUGCCCCUUAUGAUUUGGGCUACACACGUGCUACAAUGGACAAUACAAAGGGCAGCGAAACCGUGAGGUCAAGCAAAUCCCAUAAAGUUGUUCUCAGUUCGGAUUGUAGUCUGCAACUCGACUACAUGAAGCUGGAAUCGCUAGUAAUCGUAGAUCAGCAUGCUACGGUGAAUACAUUCCCGGGUCU
Molecule: ribosomal RNA, 1372 nt
Filed under: uncultured bacterium
Lineage: Bacteria
Description: bacterial SSU rRNA
Rfam family: Bacterial small subunit ribosomal RNA
Source: RNAcentral